UGGUAGUCUACGCUGUAAACGAUGUCGACUUGGAGGUUGUGCCCUUGAGGCGUGGCUUCCGGAGCUAACGCGUUAAGUCGACCGCCUGGGGAGUACGGCCGCAAGGUUAAAACUCAAAUGAAUUGACGGGGGCCCGCACAAGCGGUGGAGCAUGUGGUUUAAUUCGAUGCAACGCGAAGAACCUUACCUACUCUUGACAUCCACGGAAUUCGCCAGAGAUGGCUUAGUGCCUUCGGGAACCGUGAGACAGGUGCUGCAUGGCUGUCGUCAGCUCGUGUUGUGAAAUGUUGGGUUAAGUCCCGCAACGAGCGCAACCCUUAUCCUUUGUUGCCAGCACGUAAUGGUGGGAACUCAAAGGAGACUGCCGGUGAUAAACCGGAGGAAGGUGGGGAUGACGUCAAGUCAUCAUGGCCCUUACGAGUAGGGCUACACACGUGCUACAAUGGCAUAUACAAAGAGAAGCGAACUCGCGAGAGCAAGCGGACCUCAUAAAGUAUGUCGUAGUCCGGAUUGGAGUCUGCAACUCGACUCCAUGAAGUCGGAAUCGCUAGUAAUCGUAGAUCAGAAUGCUACGGUGAAUACGUUCCCGGGCCUUGUACACACCGCCCGUCACACCAUGGGAGUGGGUUGCAAAAGAAGUAGGUAGC
RNAcentral lists this ribosomal RNA (647 nucleotides) under bacterium LB-3. Its description in RNAcentral is "bacterial SSU rRNA". It matches the Rfam family "Bacterial small subunit ribosomal RNA", at positions 788 to 1434 of the family's 1533-position model. The record is from RNAcentral.